Molecule: long non-coding RNA, 1435 nt
Filed under: Sus scrofa (pig)
Lineage: Eukaryota; Metazoa; Chordata; Mammalia; Artiodactyla; Suidae
Description: lncRNA (ENSSSCG00070013221.1)
Source: RNAcentral
CUCUGACUGGGUGGCAUUGGGAAGGGGCCAGGUCUCAGAGAAGCAAGGACUAACUCAUCAGUCAAUAACAGAUGUAGGCAUGCUGGGACAUGCCAAUGACCUCAGGCUUAUUUAGUGACUGCCUGUCACUUUCCCAUUCUGCUUCUCUCAGUGAUAACUUUUGUUCUGAACUUUUUGUGGUCACAUGGAGAACACAUCUCUUCUGGAUGGGCAGCUAAGACAGGUAGGACCAUAAGAUGACCACAUUACACACAACUUCAGUUCUAUUCUAGGGAGCAAGGGCCAUACAGAUAACCCAGUGGUAAGUCAAUAAGACUCAAAGAAAACAAAAAUAUAGUGUGUUUGUUAGCAUUGGCAGACCAGCAAUAGAAGAGAAGGUAAUAAUUGAUGCAGCAUGAAUGCCAAAUGAUGAUAUUCUUUGAUCUGGCAUAGACACACAGCCAGAGUUCUAAACCUCUGAGGUCUUACAUCAACCAUACUUAGCUGCCCAUGUGACCUGGAAUCUCCCUUUGUCAGUAAAGGCAGUUUCUUUAUAAUUUUUAUUAGCAUGUAUCCAUGAAUAAGUUGCCAGUUCUCUCCCUUGGCCUCUAAAGAUAUUUACUGGAAAUACCUUCAAGUCCCACUGAAAUAAAAUUUCCUCAGAUUUAUUUCUAUGUAAAGGCAUCACUUAUGUAGAAAAGUAAUAUAUUUCUUCUCUACAUUCAUGUAUUAAUGUGGCUGCAUUAUUUUCCCCUACCAUUCUUUUUUUUUUAAUAGCAGAAAAAUAAUUACUUCAGGGAAAAUCUACCUUGCAAACAAUUUUAUUCAUCUUUUCGCUGGGCCUGGAGAUAUGAAUUCUGCACAGUAACACUCUGAGGGGCCAACAUUCCUCCUUAGUACACAGGUACCUUGGUUUCUGCUAUGAUAUUGAAGAACAAAUCAAGGACAUAAGGCUGAGAGAUACAAUGUGGCUGAUUUCAAACAGAAACGAUGCUCAGUACUUCAUUACCUGUUUUGUUGUUGUUCAGGUUCAUGGGACCUUUCUCCAUGCAGUGAUCCAGGCUACUCUACUUUUGAUAUUUCCGUCUCAACACAUGGUCUUCAAGGCUGCUACAGUAGAAGAAGAGGAAAUUGAAGGGUUACGUGCUGUCUCUUAAAUGUCUUGGCUCAGAAGUGAUAUAUGUCACUUCUGCUCCUGUUUUAUUGGAAAAAAAAUAGCCAUCUGUCCCUGAUAACUAUAAAGGGGGUUAAGAAUUGUGGAGGAGCUCACUGAAUAUCCGACUUACAUGACUGUCUCUUCCACCUCAUUAUGUUAGGUGGGAACUAAGGCUUCAGGACUAUAGAGAACAUGGAAGAACAUUUACACAUGCCUUCCACUAAUCAUCCACUUUCUUCUCAGCACUAUGUGACUGACUCUGUAUUAGGGGCUAAAAAAUAAAAUAAAUAAAAUAAAACA